GACGAACGCUGGCGGCGUGCCUAAUACAUGCAAGUCGAACGCACAGUUUAUACCGUAGCUUGCUACACCAUAGACUGUGAGUUGCGAACGGGUGAGUAACGCGUAGGUAACCUGACUGGUAGCGGGGGAUAACUAUUGGAAACGAUAGCUAAUACCGCAUAAUAUUGAUUAUUGCAUGAUAAUUAAUUGAAAAGUGCAAUUGCAUCACUACCAGAUGGACCUGCGUUGUAUUAGCUAGUAGGCGAGGUAACGGCUCACCUAGGCGACGAUACAUUGCCGACCUGAGAGGGUGAUCGGCCACACUGGGACUGAGACACGGCCCAGACUCCUACGGGAGGCGGCAGUAGGGAAUCUGCGGCAAUGGACGAAAGACUGACCGGACAACGCCGCGUGAGUGAAGAAGGUUUUCGGAUCGUAGAGCUCUGUUGUAAGAGAAGAAAGGGUGUGAGAGUGGAAAGUUCACUCUGUGACGGUAUCUUACCAGAAAGGGACGGCUAACUACGUG
This 505-nucleotide ribosomal RNA is filed under the name uncultured bacterium. RNAcentral's name for it is "partial 16S ribosomal RNA". It matches the Rfam family "Bacterial small subunit ribosomal RNA", at positions 28 to 507 of the family's 1533-position model. The record is from RNAcentral.